UACGUAGGGUGCGAGCGUUAAUCGGAAUUACUGGGCGUAAAGCGUGCGCAGGCGGCUUUGCAAGACAGAUGUGAAAUCCCCGGGCUCAACCUGGGAACUGCAUUUGUGACUGCAAGGCUAGAGUACGGCAGAGGGGGAUGGAAUUCCGCGUGUAGCAGUGAAAUGCGUAGAUAUGCGGAGGAACACCAAUGGCGAAGGCAAUCCCCUGGGCCUGUACUGACGCUCAUGCACGAAAGCUUGGGGAGCAAACAGG
RNAcentral lists this ribosomal RNA (253 nucleotides) under uncultured bacterium. Its description in RNAcentral is "partial 16S ribosomal RNA". It matches the Rfam family "Bacterial small subunit ribosomal RNA", at positions 524 to 776 of the family's 1533-position model. The record is from RNAcentral.